This 497-nucleotide ribosomal RNA is filed under the name uncultured bacterium. RNAcentral describes it as "partial 16S ribosomal RNA". It matches the Rfam family "Bacterial small subunit ribosomal RNA", at positions 28 to 507 of the family's 1533-position model. The record is from RNAcentral.
GAUGAACGCUGGCGGCGUGCCUAAUACAUGCAAGUCGAGCGAACGGACGCGAAGCUUGCUUCUCUGAUGUUAGCGGCGGACGUGUGAGUAACACGUGGAUAACCUACCUAUAAGACUGGGAUAACUUCGGGAAACCGGAGCUAAUACCGGAUAAUAUUUUGAACCGCAUGGUUCAAAAGUGAAAGACGGUCUUGCUGUCACUUAUAGAUGGAUUCGCGCUGCAUUAGCUAGUUGGUAAGGUAACGGCUUACCAAGGCAACGAUGCAUAGCCGACCUGAGAGAGGGAUAGGCCACACUGGAACGGAGACACGGUCAAGACGCCUAAGGGAGGCAGCAGUAGGGAAUCGUCCGCAAUGGGCGAAAGCAUGACGGAGCAACGCCGCGUGAGUGAUGAAGGUCUUCGGAGCGUAAAACUCUGUUAUGAGGGAAGAACAUAUGUGUAAGGAACUGUGCACAUCUUGACGGUACCUAAUCAGAAAGCCACGGCUAACUACGUG